UGCACUCCAGUCUGGGUAACAGAGAGAGACUCCGUCUCAAAAAAAAAAAAAGAAAAGAAAAAGAAAAAGAUAUUUUCUUGCAAGUAGAGAGUGAACCCUUACCAGACAACAAAUCAGCUGACAGCAUCUUGAUCUUCAACCUCCCGACCUCCAGAACUAGCCCAAUGUUUCCAAAGGACAUUAAUUUUGAUUUCUCCAAUGAAGGCUUGUGGCUGUCCUUAUGCUUUACAAAACAUUACCAAAUCAGAGCCGAAAAGAAAACUGUGUUCCCUCCACAAUCUUGCAUGAAUGGUUCACUCAAGAAUGAUGUGACAAUAUUCCAGAAGCAGUAUUCUGCCACCCUCACUGUCAACAUCAAGCAAUCCAGAGUCUUUUAAACCAAUGUCUGCACAUGGAAGAUUCAUAGAUCAAGCUUUGUGUUCCAGUCCUAAGAAUAAAGAGUUUUCUCUCAAUAUCUUGUUCAUGUCUG
Molecule: long non-coding RNA, 469 nt
Organism: Pongo pygmaeus (Bornean orangutan)
Lineage: Eukaryota; Metazoa; Chordata; Mammalia; Primates; Hominidae
Exons: 3
Source: RefSeq, a predicted model, not a curated record